This 2825-nucleotide ribosomal RNA is filed under the name Capsicum annuum. RNAcentral describes it as "eukaryotic LSU rRNA". The stretch from base 385 to 1972 matches the Rfam family "Eukaryotic large subunit ribosomal RNA". The record is from RNAcentral. Lineage: Eukaryota; Viridiplantae; Streptophyta; Magnoliopsida; Solanales; Solanaceae.
GCGCCCCAUCCGUGAUGUCUUGGCUCUCGCAUCGAAGAAGAUCAUAUCAAAAUAUGAUACUUGGUGUGAAUUGUAGAAUCCCAUGAACCAUAGAUUAUUUGAACGUAAGUUACACCCGAAGCCAUUAGGCCGAGGGCACGUCUACCUGGGCAUCACGCAUCACGUCGCUCCCUUGCAUCGCGCAUCAAUCAUGGGGCGUACUGUUGUCGUGGGGCGGAUAUUGUCCUCCCAUGAACCUCGAGCUCGCGGAUGGCCUAAAUGCGAGUCAACGUUGAUGGAUGUCACGGAAAGUGGUGGUUGUAUCUCAACUCUCUUUGUUGUCGCGGCUAAAACCCGAAGCGCGUCUGGACUCCAGGACCCUUUCGCGCUUAGGCAUUCCGACCGCGACCUCAGUUCAGGCAGGAUUAACUGCUGAGUUUAAGAAUAUUAAUAAGAGAAGGAAAAAAAACUUACAAAGAUUUCCUUAGUAACGACGAGCGAACCGGGAACAGUCCAGCCAUAGAAUCGGGCGGCUCCAUCGUCCGAAUUAUAGUUUGAAGAAGCGUCCUCAGCAGCGGACCGGGACCAAGUCCCCUGAAAGGGGGCGCCAGAGAGGGUGAGAACCCCAUUAUGCCUGAACCCUGUCGCACCACGAGGCACUAUCUACGAGUCGGGUUGUUUGGAAAUGCAGCCUAAAUUGGGCGGUGAAUUCCAUCCAAGGCUAAAUAUAGGCGACAGACCGAUAAUGAACACGUACUGCGAGGGAAAGAUGAAAAGGACUUUGAAAAGAGAGUCAAAAAAUGCUUGAAAUUAUUGGGAGGGAAGAGGUUGGGGGCCGACGAUGCACCCUAAUCGAAUGUAGAAUGGCGACGAGCUGGUCCGCCGAUUGACUCGGGGUGUGGACCAGCGUGGAUUUGGGGUCAGCUAAAGCCCGGGCUUUCAAUAUGCUUGUGGAAUGCUGUCUCCUCAAUUGUGGCAGGCAGCGCGCGCCUUCGGUGGUCUUUGGCAUCUGCGCACUACUGACGCUUGCCUGUGGGCUCCCCAUUUGACCCGUCUUGAAAAAUGGACCAAGGAGUCUGACAUGUAUGCGAGUCAAUGGACGAGUAAACCCGUAAGGUGUAAGAAAGCUGAGUGGUGGUAUCCUCCCGAGGGGUUCACCACCGACCGACCUUGAUCUUCUGAGAAGGGUUUGAUCGUGAGCAUACCUGUUAGGACUCGAAAGAUGGUGAACUAUGCCUUAGUGGGGCGAAACCAGAGGAAACUCUGGUUAAGGCCCGCAGUGAUACUGACGUGCAAAUUCUUCAUCUAACUUAGGUGUAAGGCCUGCGGCUGCUGUGUCGAGCUGUGCUAAGGAAUCAAGAGCUCUAAGUGGGCCAUAAUUGGUAAGCAGAACUGGUGAUGCGGGAUGUACCGAAAUCCGGGUUACGUUGCCAAGCUGCGCGCUAACCUAGAUCCCACAAAGGGUGUUGGUCGAUUAAGAUAGCAGGACAGUGGUCAUGGAAGCCAAAAUCCACUAAGGAGUGUGUAACAACUCACCUGUCAAAUAAACUAGCCUCGAAAAUAGAUGGCGAUUAAGCGCACGACCUACACCCGGCUGUCGGGGAACGUUCCAGGCCUCGAUGAGUAGGAGGGCGCGGCAGUCACUGCAAAACCUUGGGCGCGAGCCCGAGUAGAGCGUCUGUCGGUGCAGAUAUUGGUGGUAGUAGCAAAUAUUAAUAUGAGAACUUUGAAGGCCAAAGAGGGGAAAGGUUCCAUGUGAACAGCACUAGCACAUGGAUUAGUCGAUCCUAAAGGUCGGGGAAUCGGGUUAAAAUUCGUGGACCCGGAUGUGGUGAUCGACAGCACUUGCACAUGCAAUUGUUGCACAUGCAAUUGUUGGCCUUAGUAACGGCGAGCGAACCGAGAACAGCCCAGCCUUAGAAUCGGGCAGUUCCAUCGUCCGAAUUGUAGUUUGGAGAAGCAUCCUUAGUGGCCGAUCAGGCCAAAGUCCCCUGGAAGAGGGCGCCAGAUGAUACGCCCAAAUUACAACUUUCGUUAGAAAGUGUAAGCGGUCGCUGUCAAAUAUAGAACCCAACUGGGUUGGGUGUCGAAUCCCACAGAGAAUACUAUGAUCACUAAGUACUACGAUUAUUAUUAGACUAUUGAUUGAAGGUUGCAAGGUAAGGGGGUUUCAGUUUAGGUGCACAAUAAUAUAUUCAGUGUAACGAUGAGACGAUAUGUGUAAUAAUAUUUGAUCACAAAGAAUGAUAAGUUAGGGUUAUGUCCACCUUGUAGCUUCUACUUCUCUAUUAACUAUGAGUAAUACGGAUUUUUAUAUAUGUAUGCACUUAUAGAGAGAUAUAUUCUAAUUCUAAAUCCAAUUUUUUUUCAAACAUUAAGGAUUUAUUCAACUUAGUUCUGUCGAAUCCAAAGUGUGCAACAAAUUGUAUGAACUCUCCAAGAAGUUAAUCCUGCUAGGGCAUUAACGUGUAAAAUAGAGGUUGGAAACCCUAUUUUCUCGUCACACUCUCUUUUCCAAACAGUAACUUUUCUAUAAAACAAGUUAUUGCUAUAAUGGCGCAUUCCCUAUGUUUGCAACCAUGAGAAUUCAAUCAAAAUGAAGAGAGUAAUGAUAUAAGUGGAUUAACACAUCAUAAAUUCAAAAACCCAUAGCAAUAGAGAGUAUACGACAAGGUUUCCCUAAACCAAACAGAUAAACUUAGCUAAUCAUGAAUAAAACAGAAAUCAACAUAGAAAUAUUCAUCAUACCAAAACUUAGAACGAUCUUGGUGAUGAAGGUAACUAGAGAAACUAAGAGAGAAACACGUUUAUCUCUCUCUAUCCUCAAGCUAAGCCGCUUUCUCUUG